UUUCGUAGCUAGCCAUUGUCCCUUUGCGGUCAAUGUGCAUUUGGCUACAGGCCCUUUUUUUCUGCUAGGAGAUGCGGCUCUCUGCUGUCAGCGGGGCUGCAGUUUUCCUAGCACUUUUACUUUGAAAAAAUUAGAGUGUUCAAAGCAGGCUUUUUCUUUGCCUGAAUAUCUUAGCAUGGAAUAAUAGAAUAGGACUUUGGUUCUAUUUUGUUGGUUUCUAGGACUAGAGUAAUGAUUAAUAGGGAUAGUUGGGGGCAUUAGUAUUUAAUUGUCAGAGGUGAAAUUCUUGGAUUUAGGAAAGACUAACUUCUGCGAAAGCAUUUGCCAAGGAUGUUUUCAUUAAUCAAGAACGAAAGUUAAGGGAUCGAAGAUGAUUAGAUACCAUCGUAGUCUUAACCAUAAACGAUGCCGACCAGGGAUCGGGCGCUUGUAGUUUUUCCAAAAAGACACGCCCGGCACCUUUUGAGAAAUCAAAGUUUUUGGGU
Molecule: non-coding RNA, 485 nt
Filed under: Allomyces macrogynus ATCC 38327
Lineage: Eukaryota; Fungi; Blastocladiomycota; Blastocladiomycetes; Blastocladiales; Blastocladiaceae
Description: Eukaryotic small subunit ribosomal RNA
Rfam family: Eukaryotic small subunit ribosomal RNA
Source: Rfam by way of RNAcentral